Callithrix jacchus (white-tufted-ear marmoset) is the source of this 96-nucleotide Y RNA. It matches the Rfam family "Y RNA". From Rfam's summary of the family: Y RNAs are components of the Ro ribonucleoprotein particle (Ro RNP), in association with Ro60 and La proteins. The record is from Ensembl. NCBI's taxonomy places the organism in Eukaryota, Metazoa, Chordata, Mammalia, Primates, Cebidae.
GGCUGGUCUAAUGGUAGUGUGUUAUCAGAAUCUAUUCACAUUCAUGUCCCUAAAAUUGGUAUGCAACUCCCCACUGCUAAAUGUGACUUGUCUUUU